Molecule: non-coding RNA, 481 nt
Organism: Podarcis lilfordi (Lilford's wall lizard)
Lineage: Eukaryota; Metazoa; Chordata; Lepidosauria; Squamata; Lacertidae
Source: the annotation of a GenBank genome assembly
CGGCCUUCCGGCCAAAUAUUAUAAAACAUUAAUUAACCAAAUAUCACCAGUGCUGGGAGAGGUUAUGAACAAUAUAUUGAGAGAAGGAAAGAUACCUAAUACCUGGAAGGAAGCCUAUGUUAUAUUGAUCCCUAAAAAAGAGGUGGACACUAUGGAAGUAAAGAACUAUAGGCCAAUCUCAUUAUUAAAUAAUGAUUAUAAGCUAUUUGCAGACAUAAUGGCGGAAAGAUUAAAGAAGGUCUUGAUUAAUAAAAUUCAUGGUGAUCAAACAGGAUUUCUCCCAGGGAGACAAUUACGGGAUAAUGUAAGGAAUUUGAUUGACAUUAUUGAAUACCUGGACAUGAAAAUAGACAGAAAAGCCGCACUGGUUUUCAUAGACGCCGAAAAGGCAUUUGAUAAUGUUUCCUGGAACUUCCUAAAGAAGGCUUUGGAAAGGAUGGGAAUUGGCGAAAAAUUUAGAAGAGGCAUAGAAGCAAUAUAC